GAGAGGCUUUGUCAAUGGGGGAAACCCUGACGCAGCAACGCCGCGUGGGUGAUGAAGGCCUUCGGGUCGUAAAGCCCUGUCGGGCGGGAAGAACGUCCCUUCGGGGAAUGACGGUACCGCCAGAGGAAGCACCGGCUAACUCCGUGCCAGCAGCCGCGGUAAUACGGAGGGUACAAGCGUUAUUCGGAAUUACUGGGCGUAAAGGGCGUGCAGGCGGGAGAGCAAGUCUGAUGUGAAAGCCCGGGGCUUAACCCCGGAAGGGCAUUGGAAACUGCUUUUCUUGAGUUCUGGAGAGGAAGGGAGAAUUCCCGGUGUAGAGGUGAAAUUCGUAGAGAUCGGGAGGAACAUCAGUGGCGAAGGCGCCCUUCUGGACAGCAACUGACGCUGAGACGCGAAAGCGUGGGGAGCAAACA
Molecule: ribosomal RNA, 413 nt
Filed under: uncultured prokaryote
Description: bacterial SSU rRNA
Rfam family: Bacterial small subunit ribosomal RNA
Source: RNAcentral